ACUGCAGUAGCUCAGGUGGGGAUCGGGGGAGGAGCCCCUGGGGGCUUAAGGAGAGUGGCCAGUAAUAAGUGGGAGCCCCAUCGUAGGUAACUGGAAGCCAGUUUUGGGCAGGAAGUACCACCUAGGAGGGGAGGUUGGUGGACUGGGAAAGAAAAAAAUGGAAAAUGGAAUUAGGGAUCUGACUCCGAGGCAAGGUGAAUUGGGACACACAGAGAAAGGGGCAGUCUGAUUGGAGGAAAAUUGUGACUUGAGAGUGGGAGAGGUUGAAAUAACUUUUAUGGAUCAUACACUUGCUAUGCAGUGGGGAUGGGGGCUAGAACUCUGAGGUCUGGGAGGUGCACUGGGGUCUGGAAGAGACUGGGAUGAGAAGGGAGACCACUUAAUGGGAAAGAAAAAGAGGGAAAUUUGGGGUCAAACCAUCCAAGAUCAGACCCCUCUACCUCUUCCAGCUCUGAUCUCCCUUCCUCCUGCCUCAUAUCUCAAUUCUGCUGUCUUUUUUCCAUGAUACCAUAAACAAUGAUACCCUGUCCAUUGCACCAAAGUUUAUACUAGCCAGUGUUCUGUUAGAUGAGAGGUUGUCACUUUCCCACCUCUCCCAGGCCUCUCCCAUCUUGGCUGUUUCCCGUUUUUCACAUUUUGCCUUUCCUAGGUAGUAAGGAUAGUCCUUAGGUCAAUGCCAGCAAUAUCCAAGGAUAUAGGGGAGCAGGUGACUGUACAAAGCCACUUCCAGGCUUUGUACAUAAGACUGAGAAAUGGGAAACCUGCCAAUGCUCAUCCCAGCUUUACCUGCCUGGGGCAGCGUGGGGUUGAGGCCACCAUCAUCUGGAAGGUUGCUGCAAGAGCCAUCUAGGCAGGCCCCUAGGACUGUGCCAGGUAAGAGGGACUCCUGGUCUGCCUGGGUGUCUGCACUGGAUACCUGUCAACCUUUAUAUAUAUAUUCAUGGCUUGAGCCAUAUAGAAUCUGGAAGACACAUUUUCUGCAAAGAAAUUAGACCGUCUCAAGAUUUGAUUUAAUCUUUGGAGUCUCCACUGGUUAGAUUUUUUGAUUCCAUCAUGAUUGUUGAUUUUUGAUUCCAUCUAGAUUGUUGACUAGACUUACUUUCUUGUUGAAGUUGCCUUUCCAAAUGUCUUCCCCAACCCCCAAGCCCCUGCAUGUGAACCUGUGUAAGCAAUAAUUAGUGUCCUUCAUGGGGCCAUGCUCUUUUUGCACUCCUGGGCUAUUGCUACCCUGGAUCUGGAUUCUAAUGGGCACCAAGAUUAAGAUUAUUUGUGUAGUUUGCUUAAAAGUCAAGAACUGCAGGGCACGGAUGGUGGCACAUGCCUGUAAUUCCAGCUACUCUGCAGGUUGAAGCUGGAGGUUUGCAAGUUCAAGGCCAGUCUGGGCAGUUGAGCAAGACCCUGUCUCAAAAUAAAAAAUAGGAGGGGCCAGGAGACAUAGCUCAGGAUUUAAUCCCCUGAACAGUAGAAUAGUUGCAGGUAUUUAACAGAUGUUUCCAUUAGAUAAAGGGAAGCAAAACAAGGGGACAGACAGUCCAGAAGCCUCAUAAAGCGAGCAGAUGUUGGAAUUUUCUUAACAAGUGUUUGCCACAUGGACAAUGGAACAGGCAUUCAGGAAGAGGGAAGAUGUUGAAAAUGGUUUCCCUCUGGUCCCGAAGCCACUGAGUGCAGUGGGCUAGUGUUUAAUUGAAACACGUGACAACUAGAGAAGAAGCCCCCCACCCCAACGGCCUCGCGGGCCUGAAGAAUGCCCCAGAAGGAAGGUCUGAUUAGAAGAGACUGGAAUGAGUUUCUUCACAGAAAGCAUAAGGCACCAGCCUUGGAAUCCACUCCCAGGAACAGUAAUUCUUUGUGCCUAAGAGCAAAAUCAAGAACGUGUGACAGAAAGGAGCCAGUUGGUUAAUACAUCCCUUCUCUCCACCAACCCCUCAUUCAGAGCAUGCAAGGCAGUUUUCCAGCUGUGCCACCCACACAUAGGGGAUAGGUAAGUGUACCUCACGCCUUCCCCCGGUUGUCAGAGCAGCAAUGAGAUGCAGGGCUGAUGGGCUGAGGAAGAGGUUCUCUGCCAGGGUCCAUUCAGCUGCUCUUCUAGUAUUUUGCCCUGAGAAUUGAAUGUAAUGGGAAGGGUCUCCCUACCUGCUGACAAGUGAGCAAAGGCAGAGAACCUGGAUCCAUCUAAGAUCCUUGUCCUUUUUAUUUUUUUAGUCCUGUGCAGGUCAACUGGCACUAAAAGAAAAGCUGUUUUGUAGCAAUGCAGGUAGCUGGCAACAAAGGCAAGAGGACAGGGCAGUGAGAAUGAGCCUCACCACUCCUGAACAGGACCACCACCCUGGGUGUCCUGAGGGUGAGUAAAAAGCACAUUCUGUUCUCUGCGUGCUUGAGAUGACUCGCCUUUCCCUUCAGCCCCAGAUGCUCUGCUCUUCAGGCCCCAAAGAGGCUUAAAUAUCAGCUCUGACCUUUACCUGCAUAAUACCACAACCCUGGACUUCCUGCCUCCCCCCUCAAAAAAAAAAAAAAAAAAAUCCCCACCAAAAUUUCAGAUCUGUAAAACCUUGCUAAAACCAAAAGGUGUGCAUCAACUGACUGCCCUCCCUGGGAUGCUGGACAAGGGGACAGAAGAAAAACAGAACCUGGCCAGCCAGGGUCCUUUUAGGAAAAGCUGGGAUCACAGGCCUCUAGCUGCUGGGCCCUCUGAGGAAUCUGCCUGGUCCUGUGCCUUAGGAAGGGCCCUGAGUCCUUGGGAAACUGUUUUUUCCAGACUCUGAGCCUUUUGGAAGUGGCUAAGCCAAAGUCCCUUGGCUCUUCUCCCUAAACUUAUUAUGGGCUAUGAGGCCAAAGCCCUCCCCUCCAGGGCCUGGGAGUUGUGGGGGAGUCAGCUUGCUGGCUGAGGGAGUGCCUGCUGUAACUUGUCUCUGUGGCAGAAGCAAUACUGGCUUGUGGAAAACAAACACACACUAGGUGGGCCCUGGCCUCUGAGAAGGUCCCUGGAGACGCUCUGGGGACUUCACUGUGAAGCACAUAUGGCUGCAGCCCCUAGGCAGGGUCCUAUCUUGGUCCAGGUGUGGAUCGCUCUGAGAGACAAAGGCU
Molecule: long non-coding RNA, 3084 nt
Organism: Marmota monax (woodchuck)
Lineage: Eukaryota; Metazoa; Chordata; Mammalia; Rodentia; Sciuridae
Exons: 3
Source: RefSeq, a predicted model, not a curated record